UGGGGGAUAUUGCACAAUGGGGGGAACCCUGAUGCAGCAACGCCGCGUGAAGGAAGAAGGUCUUCGGAUUGUAAACUUUUGUCCUCAGGGAAGAAAGAUGACGGUACCUGAGGAGGAAGCUCCGGCUAACUACGUGCCAGCAGCCGCGGUAAUACGUAGGGAGCGAGCGUUGUCCGGAUUUACUGGGUGUAAAGGGUGCGUAGGCGGAUAAUCAAGUCAGUGGUGAAAACUAUGGGCUCAACCGAUAGAGUGCCAUUGAAACUGGAUAUCUUGAGUGGAGUAGAGGCAGGCGGAAUUCCCGGUGUAGCGGUGAAAUGCGUAGAGAUCGGGAGGAACACCAGUGGCGAAGGCGGCCUGCUGGGCUUUAACUGACGCUGAGGCACGAAAGUGUGGGUAGCAAACAGG
RNAcentral lists this ribosomal RNA (405 nucleotides) under uncultured bacterium. RNAcentral describes it as "bacterial SSU rRNA". It matches the Rfam family "Bacterial small subunit ribosomal RNA", at positions 355 to 776 of the family's 1533-position model. The record is from RNAcentral.